This 422-nucleotide ribosomal RNA is filed under the name uncultured archaeon. Its description in RNAcentral is "partial 16S ribosomal RNA". It matches the Rfam family "Archaeal small subunit ribosomal RNA", at positions 323 to 746 of the family's 1478-position model. The record is from RNAcentral.
CUACGGGAGGCACCAGGCGAGAAACCUUUACAAUGCACGAAAGUGUGAUAAGGGGAACCCAAGUGCUCAUGCUUCGGUAUGGGCUUUUGUCAAGUGUAAAUAACUUGGAGAAUAAGUGGUGGGUAAGACUGGUGCCAGCCGCCGCGGUAACACCAGCGCCGCUAGUGGUGAUCAUAUUUAUUGGGUCUAAAGCGUUCGUAGCCGGUUUAGUAAAUCUUUUGUCAAAUUAUUGAGCUAAACUCAAUAAAUUCAAGAGAAACUGCUAAACUUGAGACAGGGAGAAGAUAAAAGUAUUUUGAGGGGAGCGGUAAAAUGUUAUAAUCCUCAGAGGACUACCAAUGGCGAAGGCAUUUAUCUAGAACUGCUCUGACGGUGAGGAACGAAAGCUAGGGGAUCAAAACGGAUUAGAUACCCCUGUAGUC